AAGUGUGGACGCUCUAUACACUGGAGGACUCCGAAAAUCCUCAGCCAAUCAUCAGACACAUUUGUGGGCACGUCGCAGGAAGACUGACUUGCUAUUGGCUAGUAAAAGUAAAGGCCACCCAACGACUUCCGCUCCGCUCCUUUUAAGAACAAGCCUCACAGCCGCUCCAUCCUUUCGAGACUACGGAUCCGGGAAGGGCCCUCCCCGUCGAGGACGCCAGUGUGCGCUCUGCGUUGCAUUUUCAGCCCCUCCCUGCCUCCGAGCGUCAAUAAAGUGGCUUGACCCCC
Molecule: long non-coding RNA, 287 nt
Organism: Dipodomys spectabilis (banner-tailed kangaroo rat)
Lineage: Eukaryota; Metazoa; Chordata; Mammalia; Rodentia; Heteromyidae
Exons: 2
Source: RefSeq, a predicted model, not a curated record